GAUGAACGCUGGCGGCGUGCCUAAUACAUGCAAGUCGAGCGAACAGAUAAGGAGCUUGCUCCUUUGACGUUAGCGGCGGACGGGUGAGUAACACGUGGGUAACCUACCUAUAAGACUGGGAUAACUUCGGGAAACCGGAGCUAAUACCGGAUAAUAUUUCGAACCGCAUGGUUCGAUAGUGAAAGAUGGUUUUGCUAUCACUUAUAGAUGGACCCGCGCCGUAUUAGCUAGUUGGUAAGGUAACGGCUUACCAAGGCGACGAUACGUAGCCGUCCUGAGAGGGUGAUCGGCCACACUGGAACUGAGACACGGUCCAGACUCCUACGGGAGGCAGCAGUAGGGAAUCUUCCGCAAUGGGCGAAAGCCUGACGGAGCAACGCCGCGUGAGUGAUGAAGGUCUUCGGAUCGUAAAACUCUGUUAUUAGGGAAGAACAUACGUGUAAGUAACUGUGCACGUCUUGACGGUACCUAAUCAGAAAGCCACGGCUAACUACGUG
RNAcentral lists this ribosomal RNA (497 nucleotides) under uncultured bacterium. Its description in RNAcentral is "partial 16S ribosomal RNA". It matches the Rfam family "Bacterial small subunit ribosomal RNA", at positions 28 to 507 of the family's 1533-position model. The record is from RNAcentral.